AUUUCAAAUUUAGAGCUCUGGUAUGAUGAAAAAAUCUGAACUCGGUUUGUUGACUGGUUUGAUCAAUGGACCGGUAUAUCUAUUUACCUUCUUCCUUGGUUGUUUUCAGGCGGGCAAGGAAGAAUGAAGAGGAAGCUUGCGAUCACUGAAGAUAUCAAUUUGCUGAAGAAACUGAAACUCGAGGAAACCAAUUCUCCAGGUAAAGGUGAAUGAAUUCAUUGCGCUCAUCGCCCUACAAUGGAAAUGUAUUUUCCGUCAAGUUCUUAACAUCUUUUUCUUCCACCUCAGUCGGAGGAAAGGAGAGCCAGGACGGCCAUCGGAGAGCAGCAGCCGCAGUUGGGGUUGAAGUGCAGAAGCAUGAAGCGGAUGAGGGAAGAAGAUGUGUUAUUAUUUGUACAUGCUGCUCCUUGCAAAAGGAUCCACUGAUACUUGAGUUACAAUCUUCAUAUGUUUAGAAGACCAUCCGAUUGCCAGGAACUUCUCUGUGUAAUUGGGAUCGAGACUCGGUGAGAAUCGCUUAGAAGAAAGCCUACACCAAAGAACGUUGACAUAGUAAUCACAAUCUUCAGGAGUUCAGUACUCAACCUAAAGUGUCAGUCAAAUCAUACGUCUAAUGUCUUUAGUAUUUACAACCUUCUUGGACGUUGGAAGAUCAAACUCCCUGGUUUCACCCUACCAAAAAAGAAGAAGAAAACUUAUCUAUGAGCUGUGAUCAUAGUCAUAGCAACUCCUUCCUCGGCUCUCUCAGUUAUCGCAAAGAGACAAUCGUUUUAGGUUUGGCUGCGUAUAUCCCAGUUGAACGAGCUUCUCCAUCAUUUUCCUCUCGGCAUUUGCCUGACCACCCAAAAUUUACAACACUGAGAAGUUAAUCACCUGACUUGACCAAGUCCC
This 891-nucleotide long non-coding RNA is filed under the name Linum usitatissimum (flax). RNAcentral describes it as "long non-coding RNA (LUSI_LNC007780)". The record is from RNAcentral. Lineage: Eukaryota; Viridiplantae; Streptophyta; Magnoliopsida; Malpighiales; Linaceae.